GGAGGGUGCAAGCGUUAUCCGGAUUCACUGGGUUUAAAGGGAGCGCAGGCGGAUUAGUAAGUCAGUGGUGAAAGCCUUAAGCUUAACUUGGGAACUGCCAUUGAUACUAUUAGUCUUGAAUGUUGUUGAGGUUUGCGGAAUGGGUCAUGUAGCGGUGAAAUGCAUAGAUAUGACCCGGAACACCUAUUGCGAAGGCAGCAGGCUAAACAAAUAUUGACGCUGAGGCUCGAAAGCGUGGGGAUCAAACAGGAUUAGAUACCCUGGUAGUCCACGCCCUAAACUAUGAUUACUCGACAUAUGCGAUACACUGUAUGUGUCUGAGCGAAAGCAUUAAGUAAUCCACCUGGGAAGUACGACCGCAAGGUUG
This 367-nucleotide ribosomal RNA is filed under the name uncultured bacterium. RNAcentral's name for it is "bacterial SSU rRNA". It matches the Rfam family "Bacterial small subunit ribosomal RNA", at positions 527 to 896 of the family's 1533-position model. The record is from RNAcentral.